AUUGAACGCUGGCGGCAGGCCUAACACAUGCAAGUCGAACGGAGUGGCGGACGGGUGAGUAAUGUCUGGGAAACUGCCUGAUGGAGGGGGAUAACUACUGGAAACGGUAGCUAAUACCGCAUACUAUCAGAUGAGCCUAGGUUGGAUUAGCUAGUUGGUGGGGUAAAGGCCUACCAAGGCGACGAUCCGUAACUGGUCUGAGAGGAUGAGCAGGCACACUGGAACUGAGACACGGUCCAGACUCCUACGGGAGGCAGCAGUGGGGAAUAUUGGACAAUGGGCGAAAGCCUGAUCCAGCCAUGCCGCGUGUGUGAAGAAGGUCUUCGGAUUGUAAAGCACUUUAAGUUGGGAGGCGUUACCAGCAGAAUAAGCACCGGCUAACUUCGUGCCAGCAGCCGCGGUAAUUC
Molecule: ribosomal RNA, 407 nt
Filed under: uncultured bacterium
Lineage: Bacteria
Description: partial 16S ribosomal RNA
Rfam family: Bacterial small subunit ribosomal RNA
Source: RNAcentral